Long non-coding RNA from Populus euphratica (Euphrates poplar), 703 nucleotides. RefSeq lists it as uncharacterized. NCBI's taxonomy places the organism in Eukaryota, Viridiplantae, Streptophyta, Magnoliopsida, Malpighiales, Salicaceae. The transcript has 3 exons. The record is from RefSeq and is a predicted model, not a curated record.
CACUGCCAGUAGUUCCUUUGGAUUUCCCUAUCCUACAAGAAGUCUCAAUUGUUGUGGGAUUGUAAUUGUUAGAUGACCACGAGGACAGAUAAGUCCAUUAACUCGAAAUUGGUGUGCGGAUAGAUAAUGAAGCUCUGCGAAUACCAAUCCCCGACCUCACAAUAAAAAUUAAAAUCCCUUGAUCUAGCUAAAACCACACUCCCGUUAACAGUCUUCUUCUUUGAAGAAUCUGCUUCAACUCACAAACCAAGCGAAGGAUGGGAGGCCGAGGAGUUAUUGGUGAUAAAUGGUCCUCGAGGAUUCUUUGGGCCUGUGCUAUUGGAAGUGUAGUCAGCCUGUAUAUGGUUGUUGUUGAAAGACAAUUACAAAACAGGGAACGAAUGAUGGCUGAAGGUUUAAAGAAUAUUGAUGUGGAAUCAGGCGCUGGUGACAAUGUUUAAACAUGUGACGACAUGCCAAUAAACUCUGCUGUAUUUUCUUUUGAAGAGCUUUCUCACUGUGCUAAGUUGAGCCCCCUGUUAAUGUAAAAGCUUGAAGAUUUCCUCUUGUUUUGUUUUGCAUUUGGAGCUUGAGGGUUCGUCUCUGGUAAUAAUUCAUUUACUUCAGAUGGAUGGUAGUGUUUCAUAGAUCAGGAUUUAACAGUUCACACCAAGGAAUAUAUAUAAAGGAGCAGCCUUUUAAUUUUGCUAUGCUCUGGUUAAAA